This 314-nucleotide ribosomal RNA is filed under the name uncultured Gammaproteobacteria bacterium. Its description in RNAcentral is "bacterial SSU rRNA". It matches the Rfam family "Bacterial small subunit ribosomal RNA", at positions 9 to 318 of the family's 1533-position model. The record is from RNAcentral. Lineage: Bacteria; Pseudomonadati; Pseudomonadota; Gammaproteobacteria.
GAGUUUGAUCGUGGCUCAGAGUGAACGCUGGCGGCAGGCCUAACACAUGCAAGUCGAACGGCAGCACAGGGAGCUUGCUCCUGGGUGGCGAGUGGCGGACGGGUGAGGAAUACAUCGGAAUCUGCCCUGUCGUGGGGGAUAACGUAGGGAAACUUACGCUAAUACCGCAUACGACCUUCGGGUGAAAGAGGGGAUCGCAAGACCGUCUCGCGAUUGGAUGAGCCGAUGUCGGAGUUAGCUAGUUGGCGGGGUAAAGGCCCGACCAAGGCGACGAUCCGUAGCUGGUCCUGAGAGGAUGAUCAGCCACACUGGAA